GAUGAACGCUGGCGGCGUGCCUAAUACAUGCAAGUCGAGCGAACGGACGAGAAGCUUGCUUCUCUGAUGUUAGCGGCGGACGGGUGAGUAACACGUGGAUAACCUACCUAUAAGACUGGGAUAACUUCGGGAAACCGGAGCUAAUACCGGAUGAUAUUUUGAACCGCAUGGUUCAAAAGUGAAAGACGGUCUUGCUGUCACUUAUAGAUGGAUCCGCGCUGCAUUAGCUAGUUGGUAAGGUAACGGCUUACCAAGGCAACGAUGCAUAGCCGACCUGAGAGGGUGAUCGGCCACACUGGAACUGAGACACGGUCCAGACUCCUACGGGAGGCAGCAGUAGGGAAGCUUCCGCAAUGGGCGAAAGCCUGACGGAGCAACGCCGCGUGAGUGAUGAAGGUCUUCGGAUCGUAAAACUCUGUUAUUAGGGAAGAACAUAUGUGUAAGUAACUGUGCACAUCUUGACGGUACCUAAUCAGAAAGCCACGGCUAACUACGU
RNAcentral lists this ribosomal RNA (496 nucleotides) under uncultured bacterium. Its description in RNAcentral is "partial 16S ribosomal RNA". It matches the Rfam family "Bacterial small subunit ribosomal RNA", at positions 28 to 506 of the family's 1533-position model. The record is from RNAcentral.